AUUGAACGCUGGCGGCAGGCCUAACACAUGCAAGUCGAGCGGAUGAAGGGAGCUUGCUCCUGGAUUCAGCGGCGGACGGGUGAGUAAUGCCUAGGAAUCUGCCUGGUAGUGGGGGAUAACGUCCGGAAACGGGCGCUAAUACCGCAUACGUCCUGAUGGAGAAAGUGGGGGAUCUUCGGACCUCACGCUAUCAGAUGAGCCUAGGUCGGAUUAGCUAGUUGGUGGGGUAAAGGCCUACCAAGGCGACGAUCCGUAACUGGUCUGAGAGGAUGAUCAGUCACACUGGAACUGAGACACGGUCCAGACUCCUACGGGAGGCAGCAGUGGGGAAUAGUGGACAAUGGGCGAAAGCCUGAUCCAGCCAUGCCGCGUGUGUGAAGAAGGUCUUCGGAUUGUAAAGCACUUUAAGUUGGGAGGAAGGGCAGUAAGUUAAUACCUUGCUGUUUUGACGUUAACAACAGAAUAAGCACCGGCUAACUUCGUG
Molecule: ribosomal RNA, 484 nt
Filed under: uncultured bacterium
Lineage: Bacteria
Description: partial 16S ribosomal RNA
Rfam family: Bacterial small subunit ribosomal RNA
Source: RNAcentral